CCUACGGGUGGCAGCAGUGAGGAAUAUUGGUCAAUGGGCGCGAGCCUGAACCAGCCAAGUCGCGUGAGGGAAGACGGUCCUAUGGAUUGUAAACCUCUUUUGUCGGGGAGCAAAAGACGCCACGCGUGGCGUUCCGAGAGUACCCGAAGAAAAAGCAUCGGCUAACUCCGUGCCAGCAGCCGCGGGAAUACGGGGGAUGCGAGCGUUAUCCGGAUUUAUUGGGUUUAAAGGGUGCGCAGGCGGAAGUUUAAGUCAGCGGUAAAAUUGAGGGGCUCAACCUCGGCGAGCCGUUGAAACUGGUUUUCUUGAGGUAGCGAGAAGUAUGUGGAAUGCGUGGUGUAGCGGUGAAAUACAGAGAUAUCGCGCAGAACUCCGAUUGCGAAGGCAGCAUACCGGCGCUUAACUGACGCUCAUGCACGAAAGUGUGGGUAUCGAACAGGAUUAGAUACCCUUGUAGUC
Molecule: ribosomal RNA, 459 nt
Filed under: uncultured bacterium
Lineage: Bacteria
Description: partial 16S ribosomal RNA
Rfam family: Bacterial small subunit ribosomal RNA
Source: RNAcentral